CGUUAAACACCGGUUCCUGUGCGAUCAGAGAAGUUAAGCAAUGUUGAGCCUAGUCAGUACCUAGCUGGGUGACCGCUUGGGAAUGCCACAUGCUGUAG
Acanthosepion pharaonis is the source of this 98-nucleotide non-coding RNA. The record is from the annotation of a GenBank genome assembly. NCBI's taxonomy places the organism in Eukaryota, Metazoa, Mollusca, Cephalopoda, Sepiida, Sepiidae.